Long non-coding RNA from Rosa chinensis, 425 nucleotides. RefSeq lists it as uncharacterized. The transcript is spliced from 3 exons. The record is from RefSeq and is a predicted model, not a curated record. Lineage: Eukaryota; Viridiplantae; Streptophyta; Magnoliopsida; Rosales; Rosaceae.
CACUGUGUCUGCUGGAACAAUGACAUACUCUUUGCUCCUUCCCCCUCGAUUAUACUUAAUUAGCUAUCUGAAAAUGUUUGUAGAUCAACGCUUGAAUUCUGGCCCUCUGUUAUCUCACAUUUUGUCCAUAUCCAAUCAACCACUCUCCUUUUCAUAUAUGCAUGUCAUCAUCAAAAGUUUACAGUUCGUUGUAGUAAAGGAUCUUACUGCAUGGCCUGGCAAUUGAAGCUUUAAAUAAAUUAUGUUUGUCGUUUGUAGGAAUUUUGCUGGCAUAAUUUUGCAUACCUACCUUCUUCAACUUAUUUGGGGAAGUUGUGAGGAAUGAAAUUACAGCCUAGCUGAAAAAGAAAGCUACUCAAGUAAAAAAAGCCAAGGCCAUGGAGUAAGAAGGAAGCUAGAGACCAGAAUGAUCACAUACCGUGCAA